CCCGCGCCGUAUUAGCUAGUUGGUGGGGUAACGGCCUACCAAGGCGACGAUACGUAGCCGACCUGAGAGGGUGAUCGGCCACACUGGAACUGAGACACGGUCCAGACUCCUACGGGAGGCAGCAGUAGGGAAUCUUCCGCAAUGGGCGAAAGCCUGACGGAGCAACGCCGCGUGAGUGAUGAAGGUCUUCGGAUCGUAAAGCUCUGUUGUUAGGGAAGAACAAAUGUGUAAGUAACUGUGCACAUCUUGACGGUACCUAACCAGAAAGCCACGGCUAACUACGUGCCAGCAGCCGCGGUAAUACGUAGGUGGCAAGCGUUAUCCGGAAUUAUUGGGCGUAAAGCGCGCGUAGGCGGUUUUUUAAGUCUGAUGUGAAAGCCCACGGCUCAACCGUGGAGGGUCAUUGGAAACUGGAAAACUUGAGUGCAGAAGAGGAAAGUGGAAUUCCAUGUGUAGCGGUGAAAUGCGCAGAGAUAUGGAGGAACACCAGUGGCGAAGGCGGCUUUCUGGUCUGCAACUGACGCUGAUGUGCGAAAGCGUGGGGAUCAAACAGGAUUAGAUACCCUGGUAGUCCACGCCGUAAACGAUGAGUGC
This 594-nucleotide ribosomal RNA is filed under the name Staphylococcus pseudintermedius. Its description in RNAcentral is "bacterial SSU rRNA". It matches the Rfam family "Bacterial small subunit ribosomal RNA", at positions 230 to 816 of the family's 1533-position model. The record is from RNAcentral. Lineage: Bacteria; Bacillati; Bacillota; Bacilli; Caryophanales; Staphylococcaceae.